GGAGGCCUUAGCUUAGUUAAAGCGUCUGGUUUGCAGUCAGGAGAUGUGUUUUAGAGAUCGCAGGCCUU
RNAcentral lists this transfer RNA (68 nucleotides) under Hemiphyllodactylus sp. MPH-2011. RNAcentral describes it as "tRNA-Ala". It matches the Rfam family "tRNA". Rfam says of the family: Transfer RNA (tRNA) molecules are approximately 80 nucleotides in length. Their secondary structure includes four short double-helical elements and three loops (D, anti-codon, and T loops). Further hydrogen bonds mediate the characteristic L-shaped molecular structure. tRNAs have two regions of fundamental functional importance: the anti-codon, which is responsible for specific mRNA codon recognition, and the 3' end, to which the tRNAs corresponding amino acid is attached (by aminoacyl-tRNA synthetases). tRNAs cope with the degeneracy of the genetic code in two manners: having more than one tRNA (with a specific anti-codon) for a particular amino acid; and 'wobble' base-pairing, i.e. permitting non-standard base-pairing at the 3rd anti-codon position. The record is from RNAcentral. Lineage: Eukaryota; Metazoa; Chordata; Lepidosauria; Squamata; Gekkonidae.